UGGAGAAAUGGCUUACCAUGCAUGUCCUUCUCCCCAGGAGGGAGGUCGUGGUGCAGGCGAGCAGACGCCAGACUCCUGGACACUUGCCGCCUGCGUUAUGGAGGCUUAGCUAAUAACCUUGCAGGGGUCUUCAGGCUUUUCCACUGGCUCACCUUUAGGCUUCUGACACUUUUACCUACGAUAAUGCAGUAGUUACUUUUUGAAGGACGACCGAAGCAGGAUAUUUCCCUGACCCCUUCAUGGGACCCACGUCAGAGGUGUUUACUCAGCCUGCUGCCCACAACUCCUCACAGGAGGGAGCGCACAAGUGAACGAGGGUGAGGACUGGAGAGCACCAGCACUGGAACAACCCGGCCACUUCGGCGCUACUGGGAUCAAACUCCAUCACUUGGACACACUGUGUUCCACCCCUCGUGGGAGGGAGCAUGCAGGUGAGAGGAUGCAGGAGUCAGGGUGAGCACUUUUGGGCUCCAGCAGGAGCAAACUCUGUGCAGGGCCCUGCAGCAGUGACUGAGGGGCGGCCUGUGACUCCCAAAGCCCCAGAGGACAUGCUACAGUGCUCUUUUAGCUCUACCAUCCGUAGGUGGCUUAAGUGUAAACAGCUCAGUGGGCCCUUUGCCUUUUUGCGUGAGGCAGCUGCCCUAGGCAAGAGUAAAGGGCCAGUGUCACAGCCUUCUGUAUCUGCACUCAUGACUCCUGAGCUCUUGUCCUGCAUUCAGGGAAAAUGAGGUUACACAAAAGAAUUCACAGAUGGUAAAUGCGGGGUAUUUUAUUCCCAGUGAAAGUGGCUCUCAGCAGGAAGGAGAGCAGAAAAGGGGAUGGGCUGGGUAGGUAACCUUCCCCUGAAGUCCUGCCAUCUCUGGCUGGAUUUUUCUCCAAAGUUACACCAUCAAAAUGUCCCUCUGAAAUCAAGCCACUUCUCUCUGACAUCCAGCCGUAGUCCCUCACGUCCAGUUGCUUCUCCUCUCUGCUGGCUGA
Molecule: long non-coding RNA, 978 nt
Filed under: Homo sapiens (human)
Lineage: Eukaryota; Metazoa; Chordata; Mammalia; Primates; Hominidae
Description: long non-coding RNA NONHSAT101423.2
Source: RNAcentral